Long non-coding RNA from Micropterus dolomieu (smallmouth bass), 2382 nucleotides. RefSeq lists it as uncharacterized. Lineage: Eukaryota; Metazoa; Chordata; Actinopteri; Centrarchiformes; Centrarchidae. The record is from RefSeq and is a predicted model, not a curated record. The transcript is spliced from 2 exons.
UCCACCUCUGACACAAAAACUUAGAUAUCGUCUAUAAUUUAAAUUUCAGGAGAUUUAUAUGUCUUAGUUCUCUAACCAUUUAGAAGACGCUUUUAUAAUGCAAAAUCCUGAAAAAUCUUUUUAUCACUUCAGGAAAACAUGAAUCAGCUCUUACAGCAUUUACCUACAAAUCUGUUUAUGACUUCAUGUGUUGCGGUUACCCAGACAUCAAUGGGCCAGCUAGGAGGCUUAACAUGUCAUCACAUUAACUUCCCUCCACUAGUGGACACAUUAUAAAUACAUAUUAGACUAAGGUUUCAUGAGGCUAAUGGUGACUGUAGUUGAUGCCUUUUACAGGCUGCCCUCUCUGUCAUGUUAGUCUCUGUACUCAUUCACAAACAGUGAAUGUAUUAAAAAAAUUACACCAGAAAUUGUCUGAAAUAUUCUUAAACAAAAAACGUAUGCACAUAGUUUGAGGUGAAAGGAAAAUAAGGCCAUUAUUUGUUUUAAAUGUCGUAUCACAUAUGGCAGAGAGCUGCUGCUACAAUACCCUGUAAUUCAUAAAACAUGUUUCACUUAAGACUACAGCCACCACUAUGGAGUAAACUCUGGUUACAAUUUGUGAAUAGUAGUUUGUGGACGGUGGUGAUCAGUUUGUUGUCCUCCAUCAGGUGUCACCAAACUUGGGGUGAAAAAGUUCCAAGUGAAAAUUGGGUUGGACAACCAGGUCAGCAUCUCCAUGUUCAAGAAACUGCAUUUCCAAGAGGUGUCGGUGUGUAAGGUGUUCAAAGAGGUGACCCUCGAGAUGACUGUGGACGAGGCUGUUCGGACAAGGCUGCUGGACGAGACGGCGGACAUGAAGGAGAGAGACUACAGACUGACCUGCAGCAAAAGACAGGAACUGGUUUAACAGUGAACUGCCGUGCUGAGCUGUACUCACACGUAGUUAAAGACUUCCAGCUGUGAAGGAGACCAUUCUGCACACAAAUGAGGGAAAUCUGAGACGCCAAGCUGAAAACUAAUGUGUGGUUUCACUUUCACACCUUCACAGCAUCGGACUGCUAUCUGUAAUACCAGAGUAAUUGUGCAUUUUAUACCUACAGAGGUGCAGUUUUGAUGAUCUGGUUCUGUGCAUAAAUAUUUUAAUCUUAAAAUAUACAGUAUUCUACUUCAACAGCUACAUUUCAGAGGCAAAUGUUGUACCUUUAAUGUUAAUAUAUGCAUCUGACAGGUGGAGUUACUAGUUACACUGCAUGCGUAUGCGUAUACCUGAUCAUCACAACUCCAAGUCACUCCGAAACCAUGGGCAUUACUCUGCUACUAUAACAGUCUUCUCUCUUCUUUGAAGGCUUUCUGCAAGAUGUUGUAACCUGGCUGCAGGAACCUGUUCCCAUUCAGCCACAAGAGUAUUAAUGUGGUUGGUCACUGAUGUUUGGUGAUAUUGCCCGGCUCACAGUCAGCACUCAGGUGCAUCCGGAAGGUGUUGGAUGGGGUCAGGGCUCUGUGCAAGCCAGUUACUGUUGAAACAGGAUCUUUCCCAAACUGUUGCCACGAAAGUGGAAGCGCACUGAUGUCUAAAAUAUAAUUUUAUGCCGUACCAUUGAGACUUGCCUUAAUUGAAAGGGACCCAACUAAACUAUAAAAACAACCAUCCAUAUAUUUCUGGCCAUAUAGUGUAUUUUUAUUGGACAGUAACACACGCAUAAAAAAUACCAUCACCAUGACAAUAUACAUUUAUCAGAACUGUAACAUGAUAACAUGAGAAAGUUACAAACUUAUUUCUAUUGUGGUCCUUGUUGUAGUCUGACAAAGAUGGCAAGGUAAGCUACGGAUGACUAAAGGUAUCCUGUACACUCAACCCUUACAAAAUACAACCAAAAGACCGAACACAUCCUAAUACAAAUAAUAAUUAAUACAUGUACAUACAAUUAAAAUACUCUGUAAUACUUCAUAAAAUCUUAGUCUAAUUAGUAAUAGUAUAUCUGUAUAUUGCAGAUCCACAUUUUAAACUUGCAUAACAACUGUGUGUUUCCUUCUUUCUUUCUGGUACUUUCUGGUGCCUCUUCUACUUCCUCCUUAAAAGUUCACAAGGUCCCAUUAAAUUGGCCUUUUCACCUCAGACAGUAUUAAUAGGGAAAAUAUUAAAUGUAUCCUUGUAUACAUCUAAGAGGCCAAGUGCCUGCACUAUGUCCAGACAACUGCUUUUCUCUGAAGUAUUUAUAGUGGUCUUUCGUGCUGACAGACAUGAGAAGACGGUGCGUUAAAGGCAAGACGAUGAACAGUGGAAACAAUCUGUGGUUUUUAUAUCUGGUAUUUUCUGGAAAUGGUUCAUUCUUUUUUGGUUUGGCGAAAGGCAAGUUUGUGUCUCUUUAAAUUUGAUUAAAUAAACUAAUUCUGACUUUU